UCAUGGAGACUUGAGAUGUGACUAGAUAUUGUUCUCAUCUCUUAUUUCUAGGUUGUGGACAAAGCCACCGAGUUAUACUCUCUGGGAAACACUGAAAGCACAUAAGGAGCUACUCUAGAGCUGAGAGGGCAGAAGUUGUGGACUGAGAACCAAUUAAUUAUUUCCAGAGCAAAGGAGACUUCUCCUAGAGUACCUGCAAAGCUGUGAGUAAAGUCAGAGAACUUUCAAGGUGUCUUCCUAUCUAAAAGUCAGUACUAUAUGUAUCUAU
RNAcentral lists this long non-coding RNA (268 nucleotides) under Cyanistes caeruleus (blue tit). RNAcentral describes it as "lncRNA (ENSCCEG00000018413.1)". Lineage: Eukaryota; Metazoa; Chordata; Aves; Passeriformes; Paridae. The record is from RNAcentral.